This is a non-coding RNA of Schistosoma rodhaini, 45 nucleotides long. Lineage: Eukaryota; Metazoa; Platyhelminthes; Trematoda; Strigeidida; Schistosomatidae. The record is from Rfam.
AUCCUAUUGGCGAGUCCCAAAUAAGACGAAACGCGCUUCCUGGAU